GACGAACGCUGGCGGCGUGCUUAACACAUGCAAGUCGAACGAAGAGCGAUGGAAGCUUGCUUCUACCAAUCUUAGUGGCGAACGGGUGAGUAACGCGUAAUCAACCUGCCCUUCAGAGGGGGACAACAGUUGGAAACGACUGCUAAUACCGCAUACGAUCUAAUCUCGGCAUCGAGGAUAGAUGAAAGGUGGCCUCUACAUGUAAGCUAUCACUGAAGGAGGGGAUUGCGUCUGAUUAGCUAGUUGGAGGGGUAACGGCCCACCAAGGCGAUGAUCAGUAGCCGGUCUGAGAGGAUGAACGGCCACAUUGGGACUGAGACACGGCCCAGACUCCUACGGGAGGCAGCAGUGGGGAAUCUUCCGCAAUGGACGAAAGUCUGACGGAGCAACGCCGCGUGAGUGAUGACGGCCUUCGGGUUGUAAAGCUCUGUUAAUCGGGACGAAAGGCCUUCUUGCGAAUAGUGA
RNAcentral lists this ribosomal RNA (465 nucleotides) under Veillonella parvula. RNAcentral describes it as "bacterial SSU rRNA". It matches the Rfam family "Bacterial small subunit ribosomal RNA", at positions 28 to 472 of the family's 1533-position model. The record is from RNAcentral. Lineage: Bacteria; Bacillati; Bacillota; Negativicutes; Veillonellales; Veillonellaceae.